This is a long non-coding RNA of Triticum aestivum (bread wheat), 998 nucleotides long. RefSeq lists it as uncharacterized. NCBI's taxonomy places the organism in Eukaryota, Viridiplantae, Streptophyta, Magnoliopsida, Poales, Poaceae. The transcript is spliced from 7 exons. The record is from RefSeq and is a predicted model, not a curated record.
CUAUUGAUUUUUACAAACCUUUCCUUGAAAUCCGGCGCCCGCAGGUUCCCACUUCGGCAAGAGUUCGCCGAUGACCUUAAGCACUCCGAUCCGGUGCCGCUAAGGCUGCCACCCAGGGGGAGGCUGGCGCUCUUGGCACGGAGGAUUCAAUUGGUGAAUCUGGCUGCGCCCUGAGGUUAAUCGGGAGGCACCUGGAUGGACGAAAAGGGAAAGCCUAAGGCUGAGAAAAGCCGAUCAUGCAUGUACGAGUGUCCCGCGCUGAUCAGGGAGAAGGUUCAUUGGCACAUAGACUUCUGUGUUAACAGGGCGACAACGUCAAGGAUGGCAUCUGCGAGAACUCUUUUGUGUUAGAUAAAUUGAUGAUUAUGUCUGGAUCUCCGGGGGCAGACACUAUCAUACUGAAUCUCAGCCGGACCACGACUGUCAACAGGGUCACCGUAUUCUUUGAGGAACACAAACAAUCCAGGAUCCAAAUGAGCUUGGUUACGUACUAAAUUAUUGUUGAGGAUCUCAGGUAAUCGUUGCAGUUGAAGAUUACGCCCCUGAUCAUCAUUCUCAUUUUCAAACUUGCCAUUUAUCAGAGGAUUUGGAUGGGGUGCAUUCAUGCAUUAUAUUGGAGCAAGGACCUGCCGAGGAGGGGGAUACCAUGGGGAGGCGAACCUGGUAAAAUAGGGGUGGAAAGUAUACUAUAGACUGUGGGGUUUGUGUAUCCUUAUCCAGGACAUUGUGAAGGCUUCUGAUGCAGUUUACAAGAAGCAAUUGGUGAGCUAAUUCAGAGAUAAGUGAUAUGAUAAUAAGAAGGUUAAAUAAUGUUGUUCAAUCUUUCUGUCAAGCAACCUGUUUGGCCCCAAAUGUCCGCACCGACGCGGUGACGCCCGUGGGCGCCACCGUUCCUUCCUGAAGGGCAUCGGGUAUUCCCCUUCCCCAUGCCCGUCCGCGUACCGGGGGAAACCCUAGGACUUGUCCGGGCAGUAGCGUCAUUGUUGUCGUGUUCCUUC